AUUGAACGCUGGCGGCAGGCCUAACACAUGCAAGUCGAGCGGAUGACGGGAGCUUGCUCCUUGAUUCAGCGGCGGACGGGUGAGUAAUGCCUAGGAAUCUGCCUGGUAGUGGGGGACAACGUUUCGAAAGGAACGCUAAUACCGCCUACGUCCUACGGGAGAAAGCAGGGGACCUUCGGGCCUUGCGCUAUCAGAUGAGCCUAGGUCGGAUUAGCUUGUUGGUGAGGUAAUGGCUCACCAAGGCGACGAUCCGUAACUGGUCUGAGAGGAUGAUCAGUCACACGGGAACUGAGACACGGUCCAGAGUCCUACGGGAGGGAGCAGUGGGGAAUAGUGGACAAUGGGGGAAAGCCUGAUCCAGCCAGGCCGCGUGUGUGAAGAAGGUCUUCGGAUUGUAAAGAACGUUAAGUGGGGAGGAAGGGUUGUAGAUUAAGACGCUGCAAUUGUGACGUUAACGACAGAAUAAGCACCGGCUAACUCUGUG
This 484-nucleotide ribosomal RNA is filed under the name uncultured bacterium. RNAcentral's name for it is "partial 16S ribosomal RNA". It matches the Rfam family "Bacterial small subunit ribosomal RNA", at positions 30 to 507 of the family's 1533-position model. The record is from RNAcentral.